UUUUGGCACAGUCACAAUAGAAGUAUAGUGGUUCAGGUUAACUUUUGGGCCUCAAAACAGCUAGAAUCAGGAUUUGCUUCUCAUGGAGUACAAAAACGAAGGGUUUGUUCUCAACUUCUCAUAGAGUACAAAAACUAACCGUGGUUAUCAAAGUUUGAGCCGAUUUCUGACUUGACUUUUAAUUCUGCUUUGUGGGCAUUCUUCUGUUGAAUACAAAAUAUAUAGCACUGAAUAUACCUCAACGUGUUUUGUACAGAAAGUGAAAGGGAACUUAAUGCAGGAUAAAGUAUCCUUCCAUUUUAUAAUAUAAUGAUAUGGAUGCCCCAAACUUGGUUAUCUGUGGCUUCUGCAAAGUCCUUUGUCUCAGCUUACUUCAAUAUUUUUAACCUCUUGAUGUGCAA
Long non-coding RNA from Solanum verrucosum, 401 nucleotides. RefSeq lists it as uncharacterized. The record is from RefSeq and is a predicted model, not a curated record. NCBI's taxonomy places the organism in Eukaryota, Viridiplantae, Streptophyta, Magnoliopsida, Solanales, Solanaceae. The transcript is spliced from 2 exons.